GGUCUGUCCCUGGAAAAACACCCCUAAAACGGACUCUUAAUCCGUAGGUCGAGUGUUCGAGCCACUCACAGCCCACCA
RNAcentral lists this transfer RNA (78 nucleotides) under Achromobacter denitrificans. RNAcentral describes it as "tRNA-Ser". Lineage: Bacteria; Pseudomonadati; Pseudomonadota; Betaproteobacteria; Burkholderiales; Alcaligenaceae. The record is from RNAcentral.